RNAcentral lists this ribosomal RNA (384 nucleotides) under uncultured bacterium. RNAcentral describes it as "bacterial SSU rRNA". It matches the Rfam family "Bacterial small subunit ribosomal RNA", at positions 30 to 417 of the family's 1533-position model. The record is from RNAcentral.
AUUGAACGCUGGCGGCAUGCUUUACACAUGCAAGUCGAACGGGGUGAGGAGCUUGCUCCUCAUCUAGUGGCGAACGGGUGAGUAAUACAUCGGAACGUACCGUGUAGUGGGGGAUAACGUAGCGAAAGUUACGCUAAUACCGCAUACGAUCCACGGAUGAAAGCAGGGGACCUUCGGGCCUUGUGCUAUACGAGCGGCCGAUGUCUGAUUAGCUAGUUGGUGGGUAAAGGCCCACCAAGGCAACGAUCAGUAGCGGGUCUGAGAGGAUGAUCCGCCACACUGGGACUGAGACACGGCCCAGACUCCUACGGGAGGCAGCAGUGGGGAAUUUUGGACAAUGGGGGCAACCCUGAUCCAGCCAUGCCGCGUGUCUGAAGAAGGCCU